This is a long non-coding RNA of Pygocentrus nattereri (red-bellied piranha), 3335 nucleotides long. The record is from Ensembl. NCBI's taxonomy places the organism in Eukaryota, Metazoa, Chordata, Actinopteri, Characiformes, Serrasalmidae.
GGAGAGUUACAGCACUUCUUUAACCGAUUUCAUAGCGUCAACAUUAAAGCAGCUGUUUAAAUACAGCGCUUGAUGUGUUCAUUAAAUAUGAGGCAAAGAAAGAUCCGCAGAGCUGUGCGUCACUCUCUGCGUCACAGAUGUGAAAGUGAAAGUAAGUUGUUGGGAGAGGCGCAGAGACGGAGACACGCAGAGGAUGAACUGUCAGUGAACGCCGGUCUUCAGUGUCCUACAGGGUUUCCUGUUGAUGUAGCUGAGCUAUGGAGUCCUGUAGCCCUGCUCACUGUGUCCUGAUCUUACUGAUCAUCACAUUCACUGCUGUGUAUGUGUCAGCUGUUCCUCUAGUGAAGGUGAAGCUUCAUGACUCUGCUACUCUGCCCUGCUCUGAGACAUGUUCUGGUUUGGUCAGAUGGACUGAGUUCAGUAAUCGCACUGAUGUUCUGGCUGAGUGUGAUCAGACUUCAUGUAGAUCAGUGAAGGAGGGAUAUCAGAUGAUCCAUGAUCAGUACCUGAAGGGAGAUUUCUCUCUCACCAUCACUGACGCUGAUUUCAGUAUGAUGGGCACGUACACAUGUGAGUGCGGUAAUUCUGAACUCUGUGAUGUGGAGCUUCAGGUUGAGGACACACCACAGGCAGGGAACAAUAUUUCUGGCAGCAGUCAUACUAAAGGAACGUCCCACGGAGCUCCACAGGUGUCUGUUCCAGGGUGGGCGACUGCUCUGAUACUUCUCACAGUGGCGCUGGUGAUUCUGGUGUUGGUGUUGGUGUUUUUUAUGAGGAGCCACAAUCAGAGCAUCAGAAGUACAAAUGAGCAGAUUAACAGCAUAGAAAAGACCCUCACAGACAGACUUGCUUCUCUGGAGAGCACUGUUGUCCAGAAUCGUGACCAGAUUAAGAGCACAGAAGAUACCCUCAAAAAGAGACUUGAUUCUUUGGAGAAGACUGGUGAGCAGAAUCGUGACCAGAUUAAGAGCACAGAAGAUACCCUCAAAAAGAGACUUGAUUCUAUGGAGAAGACUGGGAAGCAGAACAGUGAGCAGAACAGUGACCAGAUUAACAACAUAGAAAAGACCCUCAAAGAGAAACUUGCUUCUUUGGAGAGGACUGUGGGGCAGAACAGUGACCAGAUUAAGAGCACAGAAGAUACCCUCAAAAAGAGACUUGAUUCUUUGGAGAAGACUGGGAAGCAGAACAGUGACCAGAUUAACAGCAUAGAAAAGACCCUUAAAGAGAAACUUGCUUCUUUGGAGAGCACUGUUGUCCAGAAUCGUGACCAGAUUAAGAGCACAGAAGAUACCCUCAAAAAGAGACUUGAUUCUAUGGAGAAGACUGGUGUCCAGAAUUGUGACCAGAUUAAGAGCACAGAAGAUACCCUCAAAAAGAGACUUGAUUCUAUGGAGAAGACUGGAAACACCGUAAAGACCCCGACACUCUGACACCCCGACCAGCAGCAGCUCAGCUGUGUCUGAUUUCAUCUUCAGCUGAUUGCAGAGCAUCUGAAGCAGCUGUAAGGCAGCAUGUUCACCCUUCAGCUCCUGAUAGAAGUGUGGAUGAGUUCCUCUCAGAGCUCACAGCUCACUAUCACACACACAGUGUUUAUAUAGAAGUGGACGUGUAGGAGUGAACCAGUGAUGAUCAGCCAGCAGCAGCUCUGACUGUUUAAAAGUGAUCAGGUAUUGAUUGUGUAAUAGAGCACUGAGUUGGCUGUAGAUGGAUCACUGUGCUGUGGAUCUAAAUGCCUUUACACACUGAACCAGAUAUAAAAAUAAACACAAAUGUUAAACAUCUAAACUGUAAAAUGAACAAACGGUCAGAAGGUCUGUGUAGAAGAUCCUGCGCUCCUCACUCUCUACUCUGUAAAAGCUAAAGGAGAGCAGAGAGCUUCACCCAGAUCAGAUCUCCAGAACUCAGUCUGAGCUGCUUCUGGAGGUGCAAAACUAAUAGACCAAACAGAAUAAUGUUAUAAUGUUCACCCCCCAAAAAUCUCACUCAGGGUGAUCAAUUAUAUAUAUAUUUAUAGUCGCAAAGCAGCUUCACAGAAUUCCAGAAAAGACCGUUUUAACAAGAAGUGCAAAGAAAACCCAGGUGAGCAAGCCAGGGGCGACAGUGGCAAGGAAAAACUGCCUCACAACUGAGGAAGAAACCUAGUAGUGGCAGGAUUUCUCUGUCCUCACAAAGUUCCCAACUUUUUUACUUCUUACCUGAAGUGUUACUCACUUACUGAUACUCGUAUUACUUUCUGUGUGUAUAGAACCCACAUUACUGCAGCUAACUAACUAAAAGCUCUUAAUAACUACAACCUCUCACAGCAUGUGUGACUUUAUUAACACUAUUGUUGUUACUGUUGUUAUUAGUAAUAGUAUUGGUAGUAAUAUUGUACCUUCUAUUGCCUGCACAUCUUCUAUAUUUCUGCAAGUAAGAGUUAAAUAAAAAAAUGUCUAAUAUUUCCUGUCUUAGUGUGAACGUGACAUCACAAACAUCACAAAAUGUGUGAACAGGCCAAUGAGACAGAGAGCAGUAUAAACAUUAAUAAGUGAAAUUCAGAACUUGUGAACUGGCCAAUGGGACAGUUGGAAAUAUGAAUAUUAAUGAGAGCUGGAAUACCUUUAUUGAGAAGUAGCAGCUUUACUUCAGUCUGGCUCAGGUUCUUUUCAGGAACUGAGUUGGGAAACAGAAGAAACACCUGCUCAUCUUCACUCACAUGUAAUUAUGAAGUGAUGAUCACUGGUUCACAGUAUUGAUCACUGGUUCACAGUAUUGACCACUGGUUCACAGUAUUGAUCACUGGUUCACAGUAUUAAUCACUAGUUAAUAGUAUUGAUCACUGGUUCACAGUAUUGAUCACUGGUUCACAGUAUUGACCACUGGUUCACAGUAUUAAUCACUAGUUAAUAGUAUUGAUCACUGGUUCACAGUAUUGACCACUGGUUCACAGUAUUGACCACUGGUUCACAGUAUUAAUCACUGGUUCAUAGUAUUGAUCACUGGUUCACAGUAUUGACCACUGGUUCACAGUAUUAAUCACUAGUUCACAGUAUUAAUCACUGGUUCAUAGUAUUAAUCACUAGUUCAUAGUAUUGAUCAUUGGUAUGUCUUUGUAUUGUAUUUGUGUAGCAUGUCUGAAGGUUUAUUGUUGUGAAUGUAUACAGAACUGUAAUCACUAAUUCUGCAUGUUAACACCUUGUAGACUCUUAAUUUGCUAAAGAUACUUGUUAUGCAUAACAAUACAAGGUUGUUAUAACCCUGCGUGUAUGAACAGUAAAGGCUGUUUAAAUUACUGCUUAACAUCUUCAAAUGAAUGUUUGACAAAGUAAACUAUUAAAAAUCCCAUGUAACUU